GUGUUCGGAUUGCGGCGACGUGAGCGGUUCGCCGCCCGCGACGUCGCAAGAAGUCCACUGAACCUUAUCAUUUAGAGGAAGGAGAAGUCGUAACAAGGUUUCCGUAGGUGAACCUGCGGAAGGAUCAUUGUCGAAUCCUGCAAACCACCGUGAACACGUUAUUAACAUACCUGCGCUCUGCGUCGCGGGGGGACUCGUCCCUCCGCGCGCCCAGCGCAACAAAAACUUUCCGGCGCGGAAUGCGCCAAGGACUACUCGAAUUGAUCGACCGCGUCCACGGGCGCCUUCCGCCUAGCGGGCGCGGUUCGUCUGAAAAACUUUAACCAUAACGACUCUCGGCAACGGAUAUCUAGGCUCUCGCAUCGAUGAAGAACGUAGCGAAAUGCGAUACUUGGUGUGAAUUGCAGAAUCCCGUGAACCAUCGAGUCUUUGAACGCAAGUUGCGCCCAAAGCCAUUAGGCUGAGGGCACGCUUGCCUGGGCGUCACGCAUCGUCGCCACCCCCCACAAGUCGCCUCGGGCGCUUUGGGGCGGCGUAAUCUGGCCCCCCGUGUAAAGCGGCCGGCCUAAAUGCGAGUCCCCUGCUCCCGGGACGUCACGACGAGUGGUGGUUGGAAUCUCUCAACACGAUCGUAGUCGCGAACGACGACGGAGCGACGGGGCUCAAGCACGGACCCUCGAGCCUUGCACUUUGUGAUUUAGGCCCUCGACCAUGACCC
Molecule: unclassified non-coding RNA, 718 nt
Filed under: Amphiasma merenskyanum
Lineage: Eukaryota; Viridiplantae; Streptophyta; Magnoliopsida; Gentianales; Rubiaceae
Description: sequence contains ITS1, 5.8S rRNA gene, ITS2
Rfam family: 5.8S ribosomal RNA (bases 331-486)
Source: RNAcentral